AACGAACGCUGGCGGCAUGCCUAACACAUGCAAGUCGAACGAGACCUUCGGGUCUAGUGGCGCACGGGUGCGUAACGCGUGGGAACCUGCCCUUAGGUUCGGAAUAACUCCCCGAAAGGGGUGCUAAUACCGGAUAAUGUCUUCGGACCAAAGAUUUAUCGCCUUUGGAUGGGCCCGCGUUGGAUUAGCUAGUUGGUAGGGUAAAAGCCUACCAAGGCGACGAUCCAUAGCUGGUCUGAGAGGAUGAUCAGCCACACUGGGACUGAGACACGGCCCAGACUCCUACGGGAGGCAGCAGUGGGGAAUAUUGGACAAUGGGCGAAAGCCUGAUCCAGCAAUGCCGCGUGAGUGAUGAAGGCCUUAGGGUUGUAAAGCUCUUUUACCCGGGAUGAUAAUGACAGUAGCGGGAGAAUAAGCGCCGGCUAACUCCGUG
Molecule: ribosomal RNA, 433 nt
Filed under: uncultured bacterium
Lineage: Bacteria
Description: partial 16S ribosomal RNA
Rfam family: Bacterial small subunit ribosomal RNA
Source: RNAcentral